Molecule: ribosomal RNA, 447 nt
Filed under: uncultured bacterium
Lineage: Bacteria
Description: bacterial SSU rRNA
Rfam family: Bacterial small subunit ribosomal RNA
Source: RNAcentral
UGGGGAAUAUUGGACAAUGGGCGCAAGCCUGAUCCAGCCAUGCCGCGUGGAUGAUGAAGGCCUUAGGGUUGUAAAACACUUUCAGCGGGGAAGAUGAUGACGGUACCCGCAGAAGAAGCCCCGGCUAACUCCGUGCCAGCAGCCGCGGUAAUACGGAGGGGGCUAGCGUUGUUCGGAAUUACUGGGCGUAAAGGGCGUGUAGGCGGCCUGCCAAGUCAGAUGUGAAAGCCCCGGGCUUAACCUGGGAACUGCAUUUGAGACUGGCCGGCUAGAGGUUGGAAGAGGAGAGUGGAAUUCCCAGUGUAGAGGUGAAAUUCGUAGAUAUUGGGAAGAACACCAGUGGCGAAGGCGGCUCUCUGGUCCACACCUGACGCUGAGGCACGAAAGCGUGGGGAUCAAACAGGAUUAGAUACCCUGGUAGUCCCUGAGCGGGCUGGCAAGGCGCAU